GCAUGCAAGAGGAGAAUAGCAAUUAAGAACAGUCAAUGUUUGGACAUCACUAAGGUAGAGAAGAAAUGCCUUUGAGACAGGCAGGGAGACUUCUCGGAAGGCCUAAUACCUGACCCCAGACUCAAAUGCCCCUAAUGACAAUGUCUAUAGAGGGAAGGGAGCAUGAGAUCUUCAGAAAUGGUUUUAAUGUGGGGUCGUUUGGAAGACUUCCCAGGAGAAGUUUUGAGAAGGACUCACCAGGGCAACCCGCCCCCAGCAGGUGACUGCAGAAAGUCCGUGGCUCUAAGGGAAAGUCCCAGGAAAUGAUGCUGGAGCCAUGGGACCUUUCACAGAAGCCUCAUGCUGUGUGCAUUGCCUGAAGUGAAGAUUGCAGCUAAAAACACGCAUAACUCUCUGCCACUGCUAAAGUGGAACUUGGUCAAGAUAGCCCCAUCUCCCAAGAAACCCCUCAGCUCAAAUUCCCACUCCCUAAUGCUUCAUAUCCAUCUGUAUUCUGCUGAGUUGGAUUAAGGCUAAAAAAAGUAUUUUGAAUCCUGCUGGGGGGAUUUUUUUAAAUGUCACAAUUCAAUUUUUUGGCUUUCCCGUAUUAAAGGAUUGCUGUUUUUUU
Long non-coding RNA from Cavia porcellus (domestic guinea pig), 607 nucleotides. RefSeq lists it as uncharacterized. NCBI's taxonomy places the organism in Eukaryota, Metazoa, Chordata, Mammalia, Rodentia, Caviidae. The transcript has 3 exons. The record is from RefSeq and is a predicted model, not a curated record.